ACGAACGCUGGCGGCGUGCUUAACACAUGCAAGUCGAACGAAAAGAGGGAAAGAGCUUGCUCUUUCCGGAAUUGAGUGGCAAACGGGUGAGUAACACGUAAACAACCUGCCUUCAGGAUGGGGACAACAGACGGAAACGACUGCUAAUACCGAAUAAGUUCCAAGAGCCGCAUGGCCCAUGGAAGAAAAGGUGGCCUCUACCUGUAAGCUAUCGCCUGAAGAGGGGUUUGCGUCUGAUUAGCUGGUUGGAGGGGUAACGGCCCACCAAGGCGACGAUCAGUAGCCGGUCUGAGAGGAUGAACGGCCACACUGGAACUGAGACACGGUCCAGACUCCUACGGGAGGCAGCAGUGGGGAAUCUUCCGCAAUGGGCGAAAGCCUGACGGAGCAACGCCGCGUGAGUGAUGACGGCCUUCGGGUUGUAAAACUCUGUGAUCCGGGACGAAAAGGCAGAGUGCGAAGAACAAACUGCAUUGACGGUACCGGAAAAGCAAGCCACGGCUAACUACGU
RNAcentral lists this ribosomal RNA (511 nucleotides) under uncultured bacterium. RNAcentral's name for it is "partial 16S ribosomal RNA". It matches the Rfam family "Bacterial small subunit ribosomal RNA", at positions 30 to 506 of the family's 1533-position model. The record is from RNAcentral.